GCCGUGGCUCAGUGGCAGAGCAUCGGCUUAGCACGCAGAAAGUCCCCGGUUCAACCCCGGGUGUCUCCA
This 69-nucleotide transfer RNA is filed under the name Sphaerodactylus townsendi. RNAcentral's name for it is "tRNA-Ala". It matches the Rfam family "tRNA". From Rfam's summary of the family: Transfer RNA (tRNA) molecules are approximately 80 nucleotides in length. Their secondary structure includes four short double-helical elements and three loops (D, anti-codon, and T loops). Lineage: Eukaryota; Metazoa; Chordata; Lepidosauria; Squamata; Sphaerodactylidae. The record is from RNAcentral.